Long non-coding RNA from Suricata suricatta (meerkat), 697 nucleotides. RefSeq lists it as uncharacterized. The record is from RefSeq and is a predicted model, not a curated record. Lineage: Eukaryota; Metazoa; Chordata; Mammalia; Carnivora; Herpestidae. The transcript is spliced from 2 exons.
UGGCACCGGGGAGGGAGUAACAAAAGCACCCAGUGAGGAAACCUCCGUGUAAGGAUGCCAAAAAUUCACCUCCGUGAACUGAGGGGAUGAUGGCAAAGGGGCUCUGCAGGGUUGGCCAGCCUGCUGACCAUGCUGUCACAAAGGCCGGCUCCAGGCAGCUAAGAAAGAGCUUAAUUAUCCAGCCUUUCCUCAUCUGUGAGUAGGAGGGAGCCAGCAGGAGGAGCGCGCUGGACCACCAAUUAGGUUAGUCAGGAGGUUAUUCAGUCUAAGAUCAGAAAUAGAGGUAAGGCAGAGCCAGUGGGGGGCAAAGCAUCAAAGGUCCUCCGGGCCAUCAGGGGGUUCCCCUUCCCACUGUGGACCAGGCCAUUCCCAUGACCUGACGCUUCAGUAGGUCUUCAUUUCCGGCACCACUGAAAUUCUGACCUUCCGUCUCAGAGAAGGAUGUCAUAACCCAGGAUGCCCGUGCUGAUUAUCCACAUUCCUUCUAACGAGGACAUGGCCUUCCCCGCAGGCCCUUUUCCUUCUUGCCGCGUCCUGGAUUGCUACAGUUACCAUGAUUGAAUACAACAGCAUCACAAUUUCUGUGAUUAGAAAUAAUUCUGGGUAUGAGUAGAUUCAGAGAUGACUAAAAUCAUUAUAAUGCCUCAGCAAUGCUGGACUCAAAGAUUUUUCUUAAAAAUAAACUACUCUUUUUGAA